AACAGCAUCAACCUCAUGGAAACCUUCUUGUCCGGGCAGCUCCCUGAUGCACUGCAUGCCAUGGUGUCCCUUGAGAUUCUUGAUUUCUCAUAUAAUGGAAACAUGGCUACAAUGCCAAGAAGCUUGAGAAACCUCUGCAACCUGAGGUACUUAGACCUCGACUCGAGCCUCGUUGGUGGCCAGGACAUUGGCAAGCUAAUGGAAAGCCUGCCGCAGGGAUACCCAUCCAACAGGUUGCAACAAUUGUACCUAGCAAACAAUGGUAUGGUUGGAACCUUGCCAAAUUACAGGAGUUUGAGGCACCUGACCGGUGGGUUGCAAAUUCUUGAUCUCUCUUACAACAACCUCACGGGAUCGAUACUGUUGUCCAUGGGAAAUCUUAGUAGCUUGGACACUCUUGACAUAUCUUACAAUAUACUCACUGGAUCAGUACCCACAGGGGAAGGAUAUUUUGCUGGUUUGAGCACCCUUGUACUAUCCUACAAUCACCUUGCUGGUAACAUACCUACAGGAAUUGGGCGCUUUGCUAGAUUAAGCACUCUAGAUCUUCGUGGCAACUACCUCACUGGACAUGUCCCACCUCAUCUUGGUAUGCUCGCUAAUCUGACUUACCUAGAGAUUAGUCUCAAUGAUCUCCAUGGUGUGCUUACGGAGCAGCACUUUGCUAAAAUGGCUAGUUUAGAGACAUUGGACCUAUUGUAGAACCCCCUACUCAAGAUUCACGUGGAUUCAGAAUGGAAGACUCCCUUCAAGCUUAGAGAUGCAAAAAUUUUGUUGUGCAUUAUGGGUCCCCUUUUUCCUGCCUGGCUCCAGUGGCAGGUGAAUCUUACUUACGUUGACCUCAGCUCAGGUAUAACCGAAUAUCUUCCGGACUGGUUCACCACUGCAUUUUCAACAAUGGAUUUUCUGGAUAUGUCCAACAAUUCAAUAUAUGGCGAGUUGCCGGCAAAUAUGGAGGACAUGUCAAUGACACAAUUCUUUCUCGAUUCCAAUAGACUUACUGGGCCCAUACCAAGUCUACCAAGGAAUAUCAUCUACUUGGAUAUCUCCAUGAACUCUUUAUCAGGGCCUUUCCCAUCCAACCUUGGAGCUCCAGGACUAGAAACACUGCUUAUGUUCUCGAAUGGCAUCGUGGGUCAUCUUCCUGAAUCAAUCUGCCAUUCACAGAAGUUGAUAGUCUUAGACUUAGAAAACAACCUUCUCGUUGGAGAACUACCUCCAUGUUCUAGAAUGGAAUCCUUGAGGUACCUACUGUUAAGUAACAAUAGCUUCUGUGGACCAUUCCCACCAUUUAUACAGAGCUGCAAAAAUUUGGGUCUCUUGGAUCUUGCAUGGAAUAACUUAUCUGGAACAUUGCCGAUGUGGAUUGGCAACUUGGUGCAACUACAAUUUGUACAGUUGAGUUAUAACAUGUUCUCUGGGAAGAUCUCGGUCAUCAUCACAAAACUCAAGUUCCUUCAUCAUUUGAAUCUAGUAGGAAAUAAUAUAUCCGGAUCCAACUCACUGGGUAUGUCAGACCUAACAGCAAUGACACAGAUGGAGGUAAGGAUUGGCUUGUUUCCUUAUCAGGCGUAUGCAAAUGCGGCGGGUGAAGGUGGAAAUAGCUUGUCUGCUGUCACCAAGGUGUAAGAACUUAAGUAUGGUGUAGGAAUUUUCGAUAUGGUGAGCAUUGACUUAUCAUUCAAUGGGUUAACUGGGAUAAUUCCAGAGGAAAUUGCUUCUCUUGAUGCACUGUUAAACAUAAACGUGUCUUGGAAUCGCCUGAGCGGUAAAAUCCCAAAUAUUGGGGCGAUACAGUCACUUGAGUCACUCGACCUCUCAAAGAACAUGCUCUCUGGCGAGAUCCCUUCAACCUUGUCAAAUAUAACAUACUUAAGCUUCCUGAACCUAUCUGAAAACAAUCUUAUAGGAAGAAUACCACCAGGCUCACAGCUUGACACCAUGUACCAGGAGCACCCAUCUAUAUACAAGGGCAACAGUGGGCUUUGCGGACCUCCUCUUGAGAAGAAUUGCUCGACAAAUGGUACAUUAACGCAAGAUGAUCAGAGCAGAACUGGCCAUGGUUUUGAGCCAAUGUCUUUUAGAUUUGGUCUUGUUCUAGGUCUGCUUCUCGGCUUUUGGUUGGCGCUCUUCACCCUUCUAUUCAUGAAAGCAUGGAAGAUUGCUUAUUUCCGCCUCUUCGACAAGCUGUAUGAUCAGAUAUAUGUGCUUAUCGUUGUUAAAUGGAGAAGAUUGGCUAGAGGAAGAACAACAGAUUAG
RNAcentral lists this ribosomal RNA (2259 nucleotides) under Triticum aestivum (bread wheat). RNAcentral describes it as "partial small subunit ribosomal RNA". Lineage: Eukaryota; Viridiplantae; Streptophyta; Magnoliopsida; Poales; Poaceae. The record is from RNAcentral.